This 253-nucleotide ribosomal RNA is filed under the name uncultured bacterium. Its description in RNAcentral is "partial 16S ribosomal RNA". It matches the Rfam family "Bacterial small subunit ribosomal RNA", at positions 524 to 776 of the family's 1533-position model. The record is from RNAcentral.
UACGAAGGGUGCAAGCGUUACUCGGAAUUACUGGGCGUAAAGCGUGCGUAGGUGGUUUGUUAAGUCUGUUGUGAAAGCCCCGGGCUCAACCUGGGAAUGGCAAUGGAUACUGGCAGGCUAGAGUGCGGUAGAGGGUAGUGGAAUUCCCGGUGUAGCGGUGAAAUGCGUUGAUAUCGGAAGGAACGCCGGUGGCGAAAGCGGUCCGCUAGGCCUCUUCUGACGCUGAGGCGCGAAAGCCAGGGGAGCAAACAGG